UCGGCUUAGCUAUUUCUUCGUGACUUACCCUGACGUUGACUGUGGUAAGCUAACUGACCUGUCUGCUGCCGAUGUGAGUACGGAAAAACUUGUUAGAGUUGCUGUCCGGCAUGGACUCUACAAGUGCCUUAGCCGUGAUUCAGCAAUCCUCGAUGAAAAGUGUGUAAUUGCGCAUUUCAUUGGCACUAGAUUGUCAAACUGAUUACAAUAGUUCCUAUGUGGAAUUGUAAUAGAGGAGACUUUGAAUUUGAUGUAAGUGAAGGAGCUCGUGAUAACAGUGCAACAGGAGGAGGAGAUGGAGUUCUACGGAGGAACGAUAAAAGCACCAAAGCUCCUUGCAGACAUUGUGGAGUCCAUAAUGGGGGCUGUAUAUUUGGAUUGUGGCUUUGAUGUGAAUGAUGUCUGGUGCUUUUAAAGGUGCAGUGUGACGCAUUGGUAAUGAGUUAUUACUGAAGAAA
Solanum verrucosum is the source of this 458-nucleotide long non-coding RNA. RefSeq lists it as uncharacterized. The transcript is spliced from 3 exons. NCBI's taxonomy places the organism in Eukaryota, Viridiplantae, Streptophyta, Magnoliopsida, Solanales, Solanaceae. The record is from RefSeq and is a predicted model, not a curated record.